This 69-nucleotide transfer RNA is filed under the name Sarcophilus harrisii (Tasmanian devil). It matches the Rfam family "tRNA". From Rfam's summary of the family: Transfer RNA (tRNA) molecules are approximately 80 nucleotides in length. Their secondary structure includes four short double-helical elements and three loops (D, anti-codon, and T loops). Further hydrogen bonds mediate the characteristic L-shaped molecular structure. tRNAs have two regions of fundamental functional importance: the anti-codon, which is responsible for specific mRNA codon recognition, and the 3' end, to which the tRNAs corresponding amino acid is attached (by aminoacyl-tRNA synthetases). tRNAs cope with the degeneracy of the genetic code in two manners: having more than one tRNA (with a specific anti-codon) for a particular amino acid; and 'wobble' base-pairing, i.e. permitting non-standard base-pairing at the 3rd anti-codon position. The record is from Rfam by way of RNAcentral. Lineage: Eukaryota; Metazoa; Chordata; Mammalia; Dasyuromorphia; Dasyuridae.
GUCCAAGUAAUUUAACCAAAAUACUGGCCUUGUAAAUCAGCUAUGAAGGUACAACCCCUUCCUAGGACA